This 1422-nucleotide long non-coding RNA is filed under the name Sarcophilus harrisii (Tasmanian devil). Its description in RNAcentral is "lncRNA (ENSSHAG00000027447.1)". Lineage: Eukaryota; Metazoa; Chordata; Mammalia; Dasyuromorphia; Dasyuridae. The record is from RNAcentral.
GUGGAAUCACACUGAUUAAAAACAUCUCUACCACAUCUGUGAUAAAACUGUGAAAGUAGUGGUAAGAAAGCAGAUGAGUGUAAAAUCAAAUUAUUGACAACACUUUUUCAAAGGAUUCUGUAAGCACUGGUAUCUAUUAAUCUUGUGUUUUCAGCUGUCAUGUAUCAAUGCUGUUGUUUCUGUGUACCAAUGCCUUUGCCUUCCUAUGGUUUCACAUCUUGUGUAUUGUUGGUCAUCCUUUUAAAAAAAAAUUAUGGGGAAAAUACUGCUUGGUGUUACUCCAGCUAAAAUUUCACCAAUAAUUAUAUUGGCAUUAUAGAGUGACAGCAGCCAAAUUGACCUUUAUUGAUUAUUCAGCUGAGAAUGAAAGUAGCAUGUUUGAAAAUAUUGUGAUAUUUUAUUAAGACCCUAUAAAACUGGCUUUUAAAAAAUUUUGCAUGAAAUGCAUCAAAGUAAAUACAUUGUUACCAUACAAUAGAUGCAUGGUUACUGAUUCUUGAUGAUAUUUCUAGUCAAUCAUAGGUUUCACCUGCCAGGGGAAAUGAAAAAAAAAAAAAAAGAUGUCUGGAUAGUUAUUUAGAAUGGAUAUAAAAGAAAUAGAGGUUAAUUUUAAGGAGAUUUUUGUGUAUGCUAAUUUUCUGACUGCAAGAAAUAUUCUGGUAUAGAUUAUUUUUAAAAAAAGUGAAACUUUGCCACUGAUAGACUAGAUUUGCUUAAAUGUUUAGUGUGUAAAGAACGUGUGCUUGUGUCCAUUUUAAGCAUUAAGUUACCAAAAUUUAAGAAGUGGGCGACACCUUUGAAAAUGAGAAUCUUGGUAAUAUUGGCAUAGAUGAACAAUGGCAUAUAAUUGAAAGUUACGUUAACUCCAGUCCAGCCUGGGAGAUAAUGUGCUGAUGCUGUUUUAGUUAGUCAGUGUACUAUUGGAUUCUAAUAACAGCAUUUUUGUUAACAUGCUAGUAGGUUGAUACAUAUACAGCAGAACAUAAAUUUUUAUGACAUUUCACUAAACUGAUAAGCUUUUAAAAAUUUAUAUUUAACUAUCUUGAAUUAUGGAAUAGUUCUCUAAAAUUUUAAUUCAAAAUAGAGGAACAAAAGUCCUUCCAAGCACCCUAAAAUGCAUUGAAUUGAUAUUGUUAACUCUGAUGGAAGAGUCAGAGGACUGGGGAAGGGGGUGGAGGCUGGUUGGUAAAGGAAGCUGAAGAAAAUGCAUUUGUAAAACAGUAGUCUUAGAGCAGCAGAUUAAUGAUGGUAGGGAGAGGAGUGGUGCUAUUAUGUUAGUAUUUUCCCACAAAAUGGUAAGUGUGAUGAGCAGUGUAAUAUUUUUAAAGAGCUGGUCUCAAUAUUAGUACUUUUUGAUUAUUAUUAAAAAUAAAUCAGUGUCUCAGUAAAUUUUGUUAUUUCUUUAUGUCACAGUUAUCUGGA